This is a long non-coding RNA of Peromyscus maniculatus bairdii (prairie deer mouse), 11890 nucleotides long. RefSeq lists it as uncharacterized. NCBI's taxonomy places the organism in Eukaryota, Metazoa, Chordata, Mammalia, Rodentia, Cricetidae. The record is from RefSeq and is a predicted model, not a curated record.
UUCCACACUCGGGCUCCGCCUUCUGCGCUCCCAAUCCCCGCCCUCAACCUGUAGUUCCGUCCCCCUGGGCUCCGCCUUCUUCGCUCCUAAACCCCACCCUCAGCCCGUAGUUCCAUCCCCCUGGGCUCCGCCUUCUGCUCUCCUAAGCCCCGCCCUCAGCCCCUUGCUCCACACCCAGGCUCCGCUUCCUCCGUGCUCGAGCUCCUCCCCUCUCGCUCACCGGCCACAGUCGCUCGCGACCGCCGGGGUACUUCACUGGCGGGAUACCUGGCAGGGUAGAGGCGGGAAGACGGUGGCUCGGGCAACGGUGAUAACCCGGCACAGAGUCGCAUUUCGGGGCAUCCACACGUAACGCGGCUCCUCAGACACGGAGCCCGGAUCCACGGGAGGGGAGCCCAAGGUUGGAGAGGCUGCAGCCGCAAGCCGACCGGCGGCGGAGCCUCCCUCAGCCUCAGGAAGGGACUCCGAGACGCCCGCAGCGGGACCCCUUUCCCAGACUUGAGAGCCGCCCCUCCCCCUCCGGGGACCGUUACCCGUUGCCGCCUGAAGGAGCGGUUCUGUGAUCGUCGCUAGCGUGGCCCUGGGCAUCGUUUGUCUAGGGCACGCUGGCUUUGGCUUUGAAGGUUCUCUACCCACUUCCUUCCCAGCAUUGCAGUUGGGUCCUUGUAGCUCCGGUAUCUGCUGUAGACUCCACUCUCUUCAGUACUCAAGACUACUUACUAAUCCUUAAAGGAUGUGCUGCCAAACAAGGUGACCGGAUGCCUGCCAGGCAAGCAUAUUAAAAGAGCUCAUUCUUGGGGUAUCCAGCUGUUUCCUGGAAUUUUUGCAAAUCAAUUCAACAUGAAGGGAAAACAAGGCAACCAAAGAAGCUGCUUUAAAAAUCGUGAUGUCCCGCUGGGUCCAGUGGCUCUUACCUGUAAUACCAGCACUUGGGAAGCUGAGGCAGAAGGACUGCUGUGAGUCUGAGACCAGCUUGGGCUAUAAGUGAGACUGUUUUAAAAAACAAAAACAAGAAAGAAAAAGAAUAACCAUGCUGUCAUGGUGUCGGUGGCUCUUGGAUCACUCUAGUUUUCUCCAUGCUAAUUAUAUCAACCAACUUAAUUCCUUAGAACGAUCUUGUGGCGAUGUGAUUAGCAGAUGCCACAGAAAUGGCCACUGUCUGGCAUCCAGGGAGAGGUUUUGCAUGAUUUCCUUUAUGACUGUACAUGCUUUUCUUCUUAAUGCUUUGGCCUUGCCUGCUUACUAAAAGUGUUCAGUGGCACACAGAUGCAUUCUCUGCACUGUCUAUUCUCACUCAGUCCAGUUCCUCAUUUAAUGUCAUCGUCUUCUCCGUACACUAAUGUCACAGCAUGCUGACAUAGGCAGGCUUCAUCUGUAGAAUGUACUUUCUCUAGGCUGAGUGUCUCUAAAGCUUUACUAGAAAAAGCCUCCCAAAUGUUGGAGGAUAGAAGUUUUAGCAUGAAAAGCUUGUCAAAUCAUCUCAAUGGAGAGAAUUCUUCUGUCCUGAGUAUUAACAAUGAUACUCCUUCUAUUGCCUGUCCCAGCUAUACUAUGAAAGGGGUCAUAAUAUUAGUUUCUUUGUUAUUAUUAGCCUAGUUCUGUUCUUGUAGACAACAGAUUUGUAUUGUGCUUAAAUGUCUUUGGGUAAAUGUCUGUCCACAUGAUCACUGGACAUUGUAGGUCCUAUAUCUAGGCUGGCCACAUCAUCCAGUCACUCACAGAGCUGGGUGAGGCUCUUCUCUAAGGUAGACUGUUAGGAGGACAUAUCCUCUGCUUUCCUGUCCCUUGUGGGAACUUCAUGAAAGGCUUAGAUCUUCUUUCUACUUGGCUGAAUACAGAGCUGGAGGGUUUCUCUGAGUCCUGACAGGAUAAGAACUGUGCCCUUGGGCAAUCUACACAGCUCCAGGUCCUUUGGCUGCCCUUAGGGAGGUGUCUGCACCUUUCUUGCUGUGAGUUAGCUUCUGGAACCCCAGAAGCACUGGAGGGUGAAGGUUCUUUUAGGGAACACAUUCUUCUCUUCUGGUCUGGCUGCUUUUGUUCUUUCUCUCUCUCCUAUCUCUUUUGCAUAGUAGCCGAGGCUAUCUUUGGGCUUCUCAUCCUGUUGCUACUGCUUCCUGAGUGACGGAAUUACAGAUGUACACCGCCAUGCCUGGUUUAUGGGGAUCACACCCAGGGCUUUGUGCAUGCUCAACAAGCACUCUACCACCUGAGCUACAUCCCUACCUCCAUUUAGCUUUCUUUAUCAGGGUCAAGUUUUUCUAACGUGUCAUACUGCAUGCUUGGGUGAAGAAUUACAGAAUGCAUUGGCAAAUGACACUGUGCAGUAUCUUUUUUUCUUUUCUUUUCUUUUUUUAACUAUACUACAGAUGACAGUUGGCUUGCUUUGGUUAGAGAUCAAGUAGUCCAGAAAGGAGUCUGGGCCUGUUGAAGUCAGUGGGAUACUCUUCUUGGUUUUCAGUCCAAGAAGUACAAUCUAUUGGAGAGGAAGUUUCAACUGCCCAGUGUUCAGAAAUCUGAGAAAAAGUACUUUCUUAGUGCUGGCUGGUAACCCAGAUGGGCAAGCGUCUGGGAAAGAUGAGCUGGAAGAGCUAGGCUAGCCCUCUGGCCAAAGGGUAGUAAAAGACUACCAGUGUUUGGAUUUGGGACAAUGCUGUUGCCCACCUCCAACGCCAUGAUUGAUUGUACGAAGCUUUUGCUUCUCCAUUUGAGAUCAUCUUUCACUCCUUGCCAAAAACAAAAACAAAAACCAAACAGAUUCACAGCUAGAUGUAUGUUGUUUCUUUGAAUCAAUUUUGAAACAGGACCAUUUGGUUACAGUUCUGAUCAUCUAUGUUGGGACCUGAACAGCACUCAUGGGAACUUGAACACUGAAGGGCAUCGUCUCUCUGUGCAUUGAGGAGUAGCUGCAUCGAGGUUUGGUACCCGGAACGAUUCUGGGAGGACAGAUGACUGUGAAGACACCACUGAAGUGGCCCUGGGCUUGGACUAAGUGAAAAGUGUCAUUUGAUUUCCUUUAUCAGCAGAGAGACCUUUCUCCUUACUGCUUCAUUAGUGACAUUUUUCUUGCUGGUGUCAGUGCCUGGGAGUGAAUUCUGAUGGUAACAUGUGUUCCCUCCUUUCCUGGGGGACUGGUUCUGUUUCAGAUAGUCUUCAUAAUUUGGGAGAGCACUGCAUUGCUUCUGUAAGCCUUUUCUGGUAAAAUGCCCAGAAGUAGGAGAGCUUUGUAUCUACACAGCUGAUGCUGGACUCCAAACAGCAUUGCCGUUGCUGCAGCGGGGACAGAUAGCUGAAUCUGCACCUGCCAGAUGAGGCCCUGGGAUGUGUCUCCAUUGAAACCUCUCUGUAUGUUACAGAAACAUCCAGUGGCUUGGACUCGGAAGGCUGUUUCAUUUGAAUGUCUGCAUCUUUAGGAUGAUUGGUGUCAGUAUUGUUCAGGGUUCAGAAGUCCUCCACCUGGGCUGAUUGACAUUAUAGUUCAUGAGGGUUACAGCAGAGUCCAUGCUUCCCCUACCCUGGCCAUGUUUCCUUAGCUAGCCAAUGCAUGGGUCGUCAAAACCCACAUUUGCCUCAUUUCCCAGCCUAUCAUAGGGGAAUCAUUCAUUUGGAAGCAAGACAUAUGUGAGGCAUUCUUUCUAGGGUCACAUAUGACUGAGCCCUCUCCCACAAAUGAAAUUAUUUAUUCUGUAAAUAUCCUACAGCGACUUUUGGUUAGAAAUUAUACAAGCAGCAAAAACAUUUUUUAUGAAUUCAUUUUCUAGUUCUGAGUUGGAGGAAGUAGGAGCCCAAAGAAUGCUUGGAGGUACAUACUGCUAAGUUAGACACAGUCAUCAGAUGGGAUGAAGAGUGUCAUUCAGUCUUGUGUAAUGCUCUGGACAGGCAUCUCAGGAAAAUAAGAUCGGUUUUUGGAAGAUGAUUUUGUUCUUUGGAUUGCAGUAAUUUUCUCUUAAUCAUCUAUACUCACACAUCACACCGUCUUGAUGAAAAUACUCUUUCUAGAAUAGUUUUCAGUUCCCAGUGUAGGUGUACUUAGACUCUAGACUUUAGUUUCUCCUUUGGCUCUCUGUAGGAAUUCACAGUGGCCAACAGCCUGGAGAUACCUUUUGUGAGGUGACAUUUUUUUUUUCUUUUUAAAUUCAGACAGCAGAACAUAUCCAGGAUAGGUUUGGACAGAUGUCAUUCUCACAAAUAUCUGGUAGGGAAAGUACAAAGAGCUGUCUCAACACAGGGGAAGGCAGCGUGGGCAAGUUGUGCCAGGGAGUACUGGGAGCUGGCAACAGGCCCCCUUCCAGCAGGUCUCUUCUUCACUGUCUUCUGACCUGCAUUUCUCUUUUGCUGGGUGGAUGGGAUUCAGGAUGAACUGGCACUGCAUCUCUUGGGCAGCUCUUCCAUGAGGAAGGACUCAUGGGAGUUGGGAGGGGUUGCAGAAUCCUUUGAUUUUUUUUUUUUCUUUAGCCAAGACAGGGUUUCUGUGUGUAGCCCUGGCUAUCCUGGAACUAGCUCUGUAGACCAGGCUGGGCUUGAACUCACAGAGCCUGCCUGUCUCUGCCUUCCGAGUGCUGGGAUUAAAGGCGUGCCCGGCAGAGUUCUUUGACCCCUGGGGCAGGAGUGCAGUGUCUUGAAAUGGUUUGUUUUGAUGCCAUAGGGUGAUAGUUCCCAGUGAGUGGGUAUGGUGCUGCAAUUUCCAGAACUGAUCCAUAGCUGGUUGUCUUCUUCAGAACUAGUCAUCCUUAGGAGUGCUAAGUGUCAGGAUGGGGGAGUGGUCAGAGGCCCCAGACUCAAGUUCUGCUCUCCCAGCAUUGAUGGGGACCUGACAGGAACUUCACUUCCUGGGUCUGAAUUCAUUACUAUUAUAGAUUUGUAAUUAACCCACUUCUGAGAUGGUUGGUGAAUAUUUUGAGGUGAAUGCCCUGUGGGUUGUCCUUCUCCGUCUAGACAGGUUAAGACUGUAGAUACCACAAACUAAGAUUAUUAGGGGUUUCUGGGGUAGCGGGACAGCAGAACUGUUGGGUGAGAAACUAGGAAGGCUAAGAAAGCUAUUUGUCCUUUUAUUCUGGAGAGCUAAAAGUGGCUUGGAGUUGACAGUGCCGCCCUCUGCCCCCAAGCCAAGGAUGUCAUGGCAUUGGUGUAGUCUUCUCCCACUUUAUCCAUAUAGCUUGCUGCCUGCCUAUCAGCCAAUUGGAUGUUUUUUCUUAAAGGUGCUGUGGUAUUUGACUUUGGCCACAGCAAACAGAUCACUGGAUGGGAAAGAUGCCAUCCCUGCCCCUACAGGCCACUGCUGAGUUCUACAUUGCUGUCCUCCUAGAGCACACAGAAAAUAGCAGAAAUGACCCUGUGCCAACUCUGGGAGAGCUUUCUUCGGUAUAUUCUACUUGUUUGUUGCAGGAUUUUUCUAGAUUAAAGGGCAUUCCUCCUGUUUUCAGCAAAUGUUUUCAUUUUCUUCCUCAAUUGCUAGUGGCCACGUCAGGCCAGUGUACCUGUCCCUGAUAACUUUGGAGCUGACCCUACCAAGGCCAUCUUGGGAGACCUACAGAGAUAGGAAAAGGCGAUUCCUUAAUCCCUGCCUCCACUUGGGGCUGAGGGACCUGGUUAGGGAUCCAGUGGCAGCUGUAAAUGACAGGGAGGCUCAGGGGUCACUCCUAGACAGGUUAAGAUGUAGGUACCACAAACCAGAGUUGUUGAGAGUUACCUGGGCUGAGGAGAGCAUGUGGGGUAAGAAGCAGGGAAGGCUGGAAAGCCCUGUAUGGUUCCCAUGAGCAGUGACUACUGAAGCUUCAUGGCAACCGGCACAUGUGUGGGGAAAGGAUGCCCUGGCCUGGGGACUAUGAGGUACCUAAUCAGUGUCCUCACUUCUUGGUACCAGUAGGUACUUUUCAGGAUUCAAAACAUUGCUUCCAUGAAGAAUAUCUUGCAAUAAAUCCAAGCCAGGUUGAGGCUAUGUGGCUAAGUCCAUAGGCUGAUAGUUAGAAGCACAAGGUUUCAGAAUAUAGUUGGGCAACAUUGAUAUCCUUGAUUCUUUUAUCUCUGUUCCACCUGCAGGUGAUCACCAACAGAGACACGAGAGACCUUGCAGUACAUUACAUACACCAUGGACACACUUGGGGGGACCAGCUCUGACCGUCUCUCCAGAGGCUUUCUCAGCCACUUCCACACUGCAGUUCAGGCCAGGCUUUCAACCUUCCUUGGAGAGUGACCAGCUGUGACAUUCUGGCCUCUCAGGCUUUCCUGCCACACCUGGUGUCUGGUCACUGCUUCUUUCACCCCCACAGGGAGCAUCACAGAGUUGGGGCCUGUCCUCAUGUCCUGUUCUCUUUUCUGUUCUCUUCCCUCUGUCCAUGCUGAUGCAGUCUGUACUCAGAUCCUCCUAGUUCUCAACCUGGAUCACUGCCGUGGCUUCUUAACCGGCUCCCUGAGAUUCUCAAAGCAUCUCUCACCAUGUUAUUUCCAGGCUUCCCAUGCUUCCUGGAACCCGUAGUGCCUUCACGAUGAGAUCUGAGCUCUGCAGUAGAUCUGCAGGACUCCUGAGACUCAGUCACUGUGUUCCCUGGUCCUGUCCACUGUGCUCCCUGCUCUGCCUCUGGGCUGUGGCUAGAUUGCUCCUCCAGGGCCGUGGUUCCUCCUACCUGCCCCAACCAUGUCAGGUACCUGCUGUUUAUUAGGUUCCACCUCGAACUCUGCAGACCUCUGUCUAUCAGGGGUGUUCUUCAUUGCCAUGUUUAUUUGUGCCCUCCCCCAAGCUGGUAUCUGCAUAUCCUUGUGGGUUUCCUAUGCUGUGUACACAGCAGUUCCUGGUGCACUGGGGCUGUAGGAAGGAAGGGAAGAAAGACUGGGCAGUUGCGCUAAGCAUGGGCUGGAGUGUUCAGCAUGCUUGGCCACUCUUCUGGACUGGUCUUUCUAGGUCUCCUCUUUUAUUUUUUUUACCCUGUGCCUGAGUUCACUGCUUCUGCUUAAGGCACAAGUGGCUGCCGGGCUUCUGCCUCACAGGCUGCUGCCACCAAGUGUUGGCCUUCCCAUCCUAUUAUGCCUUUUCCUUUCCUCUUUACUUCAUGGUCUGGCUUCACCUUUCACUUGGGAAAAUUGCCAAGGCCAGGCUUGUUAUGUGCUGUGGCCCACACUGGAGUAGGACUGUGCAAAAACUCAAAGCUAGGCUGGGUAUAGCCCAGUGAUGGGAGGCUUGCCCUGAGUGCUUGUCAAGGCCUUGGGUUCCGUCCCUGGUAUAACGAGUUAAUAAUAACAACAGCCAACAAGCAGCGCUGACCACUCCCCAGCCCUGCUUCAACUCCUUGACCUAAGGAUAGAACCUAUCGUGUUAGGCCUGCACCCUGGGCUGGCUGCUUACUCUUGUGUCCUGCCACCGCCGCCGCUGCCAGCCAGAAUUUGACCUUCUCUGACCUUUCCAGACUCACAUAGCUGUGCCCCAGGCACUGAGCCCUGCUAGUGUCAGGCUUGGGCUAGCAUUUCCCUGUCUUCAACCAAGACUUGUACUUGAACUUCAUGGCUGCUUUCAAGCCUCACCUUCCUGACAAGCCCUAGGGGCACCGAGAGCCUCUCCUCUGCGGUACUGAGGGCACACUUCAUCAAGACUGGUCCAUUCGUCCAGCCCUGUGUGGCAAGUGGUAUUCUAUGGGUUUGAGGCAACAGUGAGCUAGAAAUGUCCUGCUCCCAGAGUCUCUGCACCGUUGUGAAGAUUAACCAGCUGACUCUCUUCCUCCCUGGAUGAGGAGUGCCUACCCCGGCUGCCCUCCAGUACAGUUGACCUGAGACCCUCCAGAACGCACCUGCCUUAAAUAAGGGCCUGUGGCGAGGCCUGGGCCCACUGAAUGAUGGUGUUAGCCCUUCUGCACUGAAGGCUGCUCCCACACGCCCCAGCCCAUGCUUGGCCCUCGCAGUUAGGCCUCUUACGGGCGUGGCUAAAUCCUCACAGAAGGUAUUACAGAUUCCAAGUGCUUCCUUCUCUCACCCUGGGUUGGGUAUGAGUCAGCUGAUGGACCUCUCUGCACCCCUGAGACCCCAGUGACGGCAACAGUGUGGCCAACUCCAACUUCUGGACACGCGACGAGUUUUCUGCUUUCUGGAUCGCCAGCGCGCCCUGGGCAGGUACAACAAGCACCUGUCAUGCACAUCGGCCAGCCGAGCCCAAGCUACAGUGACCCUUAUGUCGAAGCCAUGGUCAUCCGCCAGAUCUGACAAAUUCCCAGAGAAGAAGGGUGGCCUCAAGGGGCUCUUUGAACCGAGAUUCCCGAAUGCUUUGGUCUUCAUGGAGUGCUGGUAUCUGCCUGUCCUGUCACUGCUGAAUUGGAAGAGCCUGGUUUAUUGCCCAUCAACUUCAAAGGAUGCCUCUGCUCCUGGAUCCCCAGCCUCCUGCUUUUUCCUCCUACUUGACAAUAAUUGGAUUGUGGCACCUCCCGUGGAGUUCCUGGACUUAGUCUGGAGGUAAUCAUCAACAGAGGCUUGCAGGAAAGGUCUCUGUGCAUUGUACACAUCUGGAGCUCAACACCCUGUCUAUGAGCUGAUGACAGAAAGAGAAUCAGAGAAGAAACGAGUGUGGUUAUCAGGGACUUAGAAUCUCUGCAGGGACAACCCCUGGAAGUCUCCACAAUACUGAGCAGAGCACUCAUGACUUCCCACCAGGAGCAAACUGUCUGGUCCUGCAAUGCCAGACCCCCAAUAAACCCAAGGUAUCUUGCAGUUUUCAAAGGAACUGAAAUGGCUGUAUGAGCUGGAAGAGCUGAGGAGAGGACGUACCUGAGAGCCCCAGUGGACUCACCCAGGAACAUCGCCAGAUAUUGGCAAUCAACGCCUGAGGGCCCCUGUGCUGCUACCAUAACCUGCACCCGGUGCUGCCGGUUUACACUGGGGACUUAAAGACAAAUGGCAUGUAGGCCAUCAACCCAUGACUGCUGUGCAUGAUUGUGUGUGUACUGUCUAGCCAGGCCUGCACCCAUGGCCCUGAGACAGCUACCAAGAAAGGCCACAGCAUUUCCACCAGGGCUGGAAUUUAGGUGUGGAGGUGACAGUUACUGAAAGGUAGCUUGCUUCUGCCUGCAGUGAUUUCCUCUGUGAUCAUGGCUGGGACACUAGUUCCAGAUCAAUGUAGGGAGGCCAGAAGGUAGCCAUGCCAAAGCUGGGCAGGGAUAUUAAGGUAGGUGCUGGGCAUCAGCAGCCAUGUGUGUGACAAAGGGCUUGCAAGUUAAAUACUAUGGCAGUCAAGUGAUUUCCAAGUCCUGCCCAAUUCUUGGACUGUGUGUCCUGACUCAGUCAUAGCUGAGGGACCUGUUAUAGGUGACUUUCUGGGAGCCAGUGCCAGGCCAGCUCAUGUCCUCCCCAGGGGUUGCUGUGCUCCCUGAUGUGGGUCAGGAAGAAAGCGAACCUGGUGGUAUUUGGAGGCAUUUGGGUUCAGCAGUUCUGUCCACAGUGCUAGUAUUUCUAGCUGCCUGAGCUUGGCAAGCUCCUUCACCCAUCACAAUGUACAUGCCUUCACCCCUUUUCUCUGCAUAGUACCUGACUUCUAAGAGCUAUUUUCUUUUCAACAGGAGAGGAUAUCUGUAAAAUGCUUGGUGCAAACUGCACCACAGUGGUCUGAUCUCCUUUCCUUACUCCCCUCCCUUUGGAGGGCUGGGGUCUGGCUCUCUUGCUCCCUCAUGGCUCUAUGGUAUCUUCUUCCCCAGUAGGAACUGUAGUCCAAGUAAUCUGGAGCAGCAGAUCCAACCUGGGAGUGUUUGUGUGUGCCCCGCUCUCACAGCGGUGUUCUGAGGAUGCAGAAGUGAGCAGGGCAGCAAAGAAAUGAUGUUGCAGAGUGGAGGUGAGGAGCAAGGGCUCUGGAUUCAGACCACACUAGAACUCAGUGUGCAGCCUGAGAGCUAGCUGCACUUAAUUGCACUGUACCUCAGUUUCCCUGUCUGUAAAAUAGGUAUAAAAUUAAUCAACCUCAUGAAUGAACAGUGCAUUCUAGUGCUGAGCACACCCAUCAGUUCCAAUAAAUAUGUAUUGGUACUAACUGACUCCAGCGGAGGAGCCAGGGGAGGGAGCUAUGCAGCAGGGUGGAGUGGUCCCCACAACAGUUGGCCUUCUCUCCCACAGAUGGGAGAGAUCAGAGGGUGGAAGACUUGAAAUAGGUGUCCCUUGAGGGAUGGGAAAUAAUUGUUGGUGUUGUUUCUGUAGUUUUGGGCUCUGGGGUGGUUCCCAGCGCUGGGCACAGGCUGAGCAAGUGUUCCUCCCAUGAGCAACAGUCCCAGUAGUUUUUAGAGGAGCAGAUGGGAGUAGUCUGACUUAUCCUAGUUGGGGAAGACAAGCAAGCCUCCCCAAUCCCUUUAAUCCAUGUUCUUGACCACCCCAACUCUUACCCCCACCCUCUGCAUCAGAAAACAAUUUAAUGAACUCCAGCUGAGCCACAUGCUGGUUGCAUGACUCUAGUAUUCAUGGAGAUCUGUUCUCAAGGAGAGAAGAGAAAACCAAGGUCCCUGCACUAAGUCUCCGAGCCAGUGGCAUGGGCCUGCCUGCAGAGCAGACAGAGGAGUCUGUGUUUGCAGUCCCCAAAGAGCCCCAGUCUUCCUCUCCCUGCCCCUCCUAUCCUGAUUGGUGGGAGUCCAGGAAACAUGUAGCCUGCCAGCCCUGGGCACCUCAUACAGGCUACUGGAGGGUAGCAUGGAGGCAGCCUCUUGGCUGCGGGGAAAUGGCAGACAUAACCCUUUCCUAUCAGCACAAGAGGUAGGCUGAUAAUGAUGUUGGGUCCUAGUGUUGGCCACAAGCAUCCCCUCUGUCACCUGACCUCAGUGGCCUUGAAGAGCUUUGCUUACUGUCCAAAGAGUCACCAUAGAGGAAAGCAGCUUUAGCUGCCUCUCCGCUGGUGUGGUGCUCCCUGGGCCAGUGGGAUGGGGCGCUGGUUCUGCUUCUCCAUCUGUUUUCCCCCCACACCUGACUCUAGCCUUCCUGACUCCCUGACUGCCCAUAACCUCCUCCAUUUGGCAUUAGCACUCAUGGCGCCAUGAAUAGUAAUGUCUUUUCUCUUUCCUAUUGGCCACCUAUGGCUAAUUUUUCAAGAUACCACUAGUGGUUACCUCCUGUUGUGGCAUGAUUUGGUCAUGCCUGCCUUUGAACCCAUGCCACGAGAGCUCGCUCGCAUUACAUAGACCUGACUAGGGCAUCUCCAUGGUUCUGACAGUGUCACUGAUGGGGGUCUCACUUUCUUGCCUGUGCUGGUCUCAAAAGUCUGGGCUUCUGUGAACCUGCCUCAGCUCUUCAGAAGCUAGGACUCCGGCAAACCCGGCAGUCCUUUUGAAAGAUGAAGAAAAGAAGGCCUGGAGAGCUCAGCUAUUUUGCUUUGGUUGUUAAUGCAGUUUUUUACUUGCUUUGUGCAUAUUUAACUUCUGAGGUGUGCCAGACACUGAGAGCAUGCCAAUGAGUAAAAUGGACAAUAAUCCCUGGAGCUUCCACUGGACUGAGGAAGGAGGAGGAGGAGGAGAGGAGGAGACCUGUCGGUUGUGGGAAGUGGGAUAGAAAUGGAGGACGUCAAGGUUGCUCUAGGGGAGGCUGCUGAGGCCCACAUUGGUGUCAGUUAAUGAAGAUCAGGCAGAACAUGUUGGAGGAGUGAGGGGACAGCACUUCAUAGAGAACUAUAGGUCCCAGGGGCAAGAAGUGGAUGGAGAUGUCCCCAAAAUCAAGAGGAGGCCCGAGUGAAAGAGGAUGAUAGCCCCCAAAGAAACUUUGCAAUUUGGUUUUUGUUUACUUGCGUAAGAAUGGGGAGUGGCCUUCCUUCAGGGCUAGAGCCCAGGUGGUAGAGCUGACCAAGGUUUUUUAUUUUUAAGCCUAUGGAUGUCUGCUGUAAUUUUGCAUUUUUGCUGUGUAAGCCCAUGUCACCUCACCAAUUUUCAGUAAAGUCUGUUACAAACACAAA